UACGGAAGGUUCGGGCGUUAUCCGGAUUUAUUGGGUUUAAAGGGAGCGCAGGCUGCCGGGUAAGCGUGACGUGAAAUGCCGCGGCUCAACCGUGGAAGUGCGUCGCGAACUGUCCGGCUUGAGUGGGUACGACGCCGGCGGAAUUUGUGGUGUAGCGGUGAAAUGCUUAGAUAUCACGAAGAACCCCGAUUGCGCAGGCAGCCGGCGAGUCCCCAACUGACGCUAAAGCUCGAAGGUGCGGGUAU
This 245-nucleotide ribosomal RNA is filed under the name uncultured Prevotella sp. RNAcentral describes it as "partial 16S ribosomal RNA". It matches the Rfam family "Bacterial small subunit ribosomal RNA", at positions 524 to 768 of the family's 1533-position model. The record is from RNAcentral. Lineage: Bacteria; Pseudomonadati; Bacteroidota; Bacteroidia; Bacteroidales; Prevotellaceae.